Otolemur garnettii (small-eared galago) is the source of this 275-nucleotide non-coding RNA. NCBI's taxonomy places the organism in Eukaryota, Metazoa, Chordata, Mammalia, Primates, Galagidae. The record is from Rfam.
GCAGGAGCAGUAGCUGCACUGUGGUCCCAGGUCCUCAGGAGGCUGAGGCAGGAGGAUCUACAGGAAUUCUGGUCCAUGGUAAGCUGUGCAAAUGGGGUGUCCACACUAAGUACAGCUUCAAUAUGGUGACCUCCCAGGGCAGGGGACUACCAGAGUGCCUAAGCAGGGAUGAACUGGCCCAGGUUGGAAAUGGAGCAGGUGAAAACUCCUGCACUGAUCAGUAGUUGGAUCACCCUGCACGCCAGCUGGGGCAACAUAGAGAGACCCCAUCUCAA